GCUUUUUAAAGUGAAGUUGAAGCUAUUUUGCAAAACGUUUGGUAAAACGACUUCUCAAUGGCAAUAUAUGUAAUUUUAUGAUCACUUAAUGCUUGGAGAGAGAGGAGAAGCCGGUGAAGCCACUUUUUUCGGCUUCGCGGCUUCUCCUCUCUAGUGUAAGCCGUUUUGCGGCUUCUCCCCGACUUUGGUGGUGAAGCCGUUUUGAAAUUAGCCCUUUGGUAGGGCUUCACCAAAAGCCGGUGGAGAAGCACUUUGAGAAGCCCUACCAAACGGGACCUAAUUAGAAGUAUUAAAUAUAGUUUAAUUACAAAACUAAUUGCACAGAUGGAGUCUAAUUCGCGAGACGAAUCUAUUAAACCUAAUUAGUCCAUGAUUUGACAAUGUGGUGCUACAGUAACCAUUUGCUAAUGAUAGAUUAAUUAGCCUUAAUAUAUUCAUCUCGUGAAUUAGACUCAUCUAUGCAAUUAGUUUUAUAAUUAAUUUAUGUUUAAUCCUCCUAAUUAGUCCUUUGACCCCG
This 517-nucleotide long non-coding RNA is filed under the name Setaria viridis. RNAcentral describes it as "long non-coding RNA (SVIR_LNC008279)". Lineage: Eukaryota; Viridiplantae; Streptophyta; Magnoliopsida; Poales; Poaceae. The record is from RNAcentral.